RNAcentral lists this ribosomal RNA (500 nucleotides) under uncultured bacterium. Its description in RNAcentral is "partial 16S ribosomal RNA". It matches the Rfam family "Bacterial small subunit ribosomal RNA", at positions 30 to 523 of the family's 1533-position model. The record is from RNAcentral.
AUUGAACGCUGGCGGCAGGCCUAACACAUGCAAGUCGAGCGGUUGACGGGAGCUUGCUCCCUGAUUCAGCGGCGGACGGGUGAGUAAUGCCUAGGAAUCUGCCUAUUAGUGGGGGACAACGUUUCGAAAGGAACGCUAAUACCGCAUACGUCCUACGGGAGAAAGCAGGGGACCUUCUGGCCUUGCGCUAAUAGAUGAGCCUAGGUCGGAUUAGCUUGUUGGUGAGGUAAUGGCUCACCAAGGCGACGAUCCGUAACUGGUCUGAGAGGAUGAUCAGUCACACUGGAACUGAGACACGGUCCAGACUCCUACGGGAGGCAGCAGUGGGGAAUAUUGGACAAUGGGCGAAAGCCUGAUCCAGCCAUGCCGCGUGUGUGAAGAAGGUCUUCGGAUUGUAAAGCACUUUAAGUUGGGAGGAAGGGUUGUAGAUUAAUACUCUGCAAUUUUGACGUUACCGACAGAAUAAGCACCGGCUAACUCUGUGCCAGCAGCCGCCGCGG